RNAcentral lists this ribosomal RNA (483 nucleotides) under uncultured soil bacterium. RNAcentral describes it as "bacterial SSU rRNA". It matches the Rfam family "Bacterial small subunit ribosomal RNA", at positions 26 to 518 of the family's 1533-position model. The record is from RNAcentral.
AGAUUGAACGCUGGCGGCAUGCCUAACACAUGCAAGUCGAACGGGAGUAGCAAUACUCUAGUGGCGGACGGGUGAGGAAUACGUAGGAAUUUGCCCUUAAGUGGGGGAUAACCCGGGGAAACCCGGAUUAAUACCGCAUGACCUCGAAAGAGCAAAGUGGGGGAUCGCAAGACCUCACGCUUUUGGAGAAGCCUACGUCGGAUUAGCUAGUUGGUGAGGUAAUGGCUCACCAAGGCGACGAUCCGUAACUGGUCUGAGAGGAUGAUCAGUCACACCGGAACUGAGACACGGUCCGGACUCCUACGGGAGGCAGCAGUGGGGAAUAUUGGACAAUGGGCGAAAGCCUGAUCCAGCCAUGCCGCGUGCAGGAUGAAGGCCUUCGGUUGUAAACUGCUUUGUACGGACGAAAGUCUCUUUCUAAUAAAGAGGAUCAUGACGGUACCGUAAGAAUAAGCACCGGACUAACUACGUGCCAGCAGCCGC